GCUUCCUUGGCUCAGUUGGUAGAGCGUUGGUCUCAUAGUCUCUAUGAGUGACCCAAAUGAGGUCGCCCAAUCCAAAGGUCGCCAGUUCGAGCCUGGCAGGGAGCA
Molecule: transfer RNA, 105 nt
Filed under: Rhizoctonia solani AG-1 IB
Lineage: Eukaryota; Fungi; Basidiomycota; Agaricomycetes; Cantharellales; Ceratobasidiaceae
Rfam family: tRNA
About the family: Transfer RNA (tRNA) molecules are approximately 80 nucleotides in length. Their secondary structure includes four short double-helical elements and three loops (D, anti-codon, and T loops).
Source: Rfam by way of RNAcentral